This 458-nucleotide long non-coding RNA is filed under the name Homo sapiens (human). RNAcentral describes it as "non-protein coding lnc-SLC1A5-1:1". The record is from RNAcentral. Lineage: Eukaryota; Metazoa; Chordata; Mammalia; Primates; Hominidae.
AUCUCUGCCUUCCUCUCCCAGGUCUUAAACGAAUAUUUCCACAAUGUCUGUGAACUGGACCUGGUGUUCAACUUCUACAAGGUUUACACGGUCGUGGACGAGAUGUUCCUGGCUGGCGAAAUCCGAGAGACCAGCCAGACGAAGGUGCUGAAACAGCUGCUGAUGCUACAGUCCCUGGAGUGAGGGCAGGCGAGCCCCACCCCGGCCCCGGCCCCUCCUGGACUCGCCUGCUCGCUUCCCCUUCCCAGGCCCGUGGCCAACCCAGCAGUCCUUCCCUCAGCUGCCUAGGAGGAAGGGACCCAGCUGGGUCUGGGCCACAAGGGAGGAGACUGCACCCCACUGCCUCUGGGCCCUGGCUGUGGGCAGAGGCCACCGUGUGUGUCCCGAGUAACCGUGCCGUUGUCGUGUGAUGCCAUAAGCGUCUGUGCGUGGAGUCCCCAAUAAACCUGUGGUCCUGC